CUUCAUCUUCCUAGUUGCCUUCUCCAAUUGAGCCCGAGCUAGCUCAUUAGUGGGCCACUCCUUGGCCGUCUUGUAUGCAGCAUGGCUACUCCUCGCGCAGCCUGACACCACUGUGUUAGGUGUUAUAGGUUGUUGUCCUAUUACCAACUCAAAAGGACUUGACCCUAUCAACUCUAACCGCUGCAAGUUGUAUGAGAACUGAGCAACAUCCAACAACUUUGCCCAAUCUCGCUGGUUGGCACUCAUAUAGUGCCUCAAGUAUAGCUC
Molecule: long non-coding RNA, 267 nt
Filed under: Prunus persica (peach)
Lineage: Eukaryota; Viridiplantae; Streptophyta; Magnoliopsida; Rosales; Rosaceae
Description: long non-coding RNA (PPER_LNC002190)
Source: RNAcentral